AAUUCUCAUAUUUAAUACGUCUUUCCUGUGUAAACACUUGACGUUUGGUUAACAUUGGAUAUGGACACAAUAUAAUUUACAAAUAUUGAUAAAAUUUAAAUAUGUUUUCGAAAAUCUGUAAAAACGAAAAAAAAAUAUACCUAUAUCUUAUAUUUUAUUACUUUUACAUAUAUACAACUGUCGAUAAAUUAUACCAUUAUCUAAGUAUCCAAUAGGUAGGUAAUAUAAUAUUUUAGAACAAUACUAAAAUGUUAUAUUAAAGCGAUCAUUGAUGUAUGGAAGUAUGAAAUUUUGGUUUGCUGGUUUAAAAUAAAGAUACGCACAUACUUCGCACGAUAGUUUGGCCAUUGUUUUAGGUGAGAAGUUGGGAAGUUAGAAGGAAAAUUGUAUAUACAUCAGUAAGUAACGUUUAACCAUCACUAACGAAAAGCA
Molecule: non-coding RNA, 432 nt
Organism: Cinara cedri
Lineage: Eukaryota; Metazoa; Arthropoda; Insecta; Hemiptera; Aphididae
Source: the annotation of a GenBank genome assembly